RNAcentral lists this ribosomal RNA (691 nucleotides) under uncultured bacterium. Its description in RNAcentral is "bacterial SSU rRNA". It matches the Rfam family "Bacterial small subunit ribosomal RNA", at positions 97 to 818 of the family's 1533-position model. The record is from RNAcentral.
GGCAAACGGCUGAGUAACGCGUAGGAACUUACCCUUUAGUCAAGGAUAGCUAUUCGAAAGAGUAAUUAAUCCUGGAUGUGGUCUGCGGACCAAAGACUUCGGUCGCUAGAGGAUAGGCCUGCGUCCUAUCAGGUUGUUGGUGAGGUAACUGCUCACCAAGCCUAUGACGGGUAGGUGGUCUGAGAGGAUGAUCACCCAGAAUGGAACUGCGACACGGUCCAUACUCCUACGGGAGGCAGCAAUUAGGAAUCUUGCGCAAUGGGGGAAACCCUGACGCAGCGACACCGCGUGGAGGAUGAAGGUUUUCGGAUUGUAAACUCCUUUUGUAUGGGAACAAGUUCUGAGGGUACCAUACGAAUAAGCACCCCCUAACUACGUGCCAGAAGGGUCGGUGAAGCGUAGGGUGCAAGCGUUAUCCGGAAUUACUGGGCGUAAAGAGAUGCGUAGGCGUCCUUGCAAGUCUAAAGUGAAAUCCCGAGGCUCAACUUCGGAACUGCUUUAGAAACUGCGAGGAUUGAGUCAGUCAGAGGGAAGUAGAAUUCCUGGUGUAGCGGUGAAAUGCGUUGAUAUCAGGAGGAAUACCGAUGGCGAAGGCAACUUCCUGGGGCUAGACUGACGCUAAGGCUCGAAAGCGUGGGGAGCAAAACGGAUUAGAUACCCGUGUAGUCCACGCCGUAAACGAUCCCUACUA